CUUGGGCCAUGUAUAUCAUGCCAUGUGCUCUCAGCAUGCACAUGCUCAAGUCACCAAGUCCACAAGCUAUAGAGGUCUAAAACAAUGUCAAUCUGCAUUUAACUGAACUUGUAUCAAGAAAUGUAUCAAGAAAUAAGAAGACAAGAAUAAAGCAUUAAAGAAUCAAGCCACUUGGUUAUUACAGUACCCCAUGUAAGAGAUUGUAUAAAUGGAUUGUCAUUGAGGGGCAGUGUUAUGUUUUUGUAACAAUGUACCCCAUGUAAGAGAUUGUAUAAAUGGAUUGUCAUUGAGGGGCAGUGUUAUGUUUCUGUAACAAUGUACCCCAUGUAAGAGAUUGUAUAAAUGGAUUGUCAUUGAGGGGCAGUGUUAUGUUUUUGUAACAAUGUACCCCAUGUAAGAGAUUGUAUAAAUGGAUUGUCAUUGA
Molecule: long non-coding RNA, 424 nt
Organism: Haliotis rubra (blacklip abalone)
Lineage: Eukaryota; Metazoa; Mollusca; Gastropoda; Lepetellida; Haliotidae
Exons: 2
Source: RefSeq, a predicted model, not a curated record